Molecule: ribosomal RNA, 309 nt
Filed under: Triticum aestivum (bread wheat)
Lineage: Eukaryota; Viridiplantae; Streptophyta; Magnoliopsida; Poales; Poaceae
Description: partial small subunit ribosomal RNA
Source: RNAcentral
AUGCAAGUCUUUUGCCAUUUUAAUCAACCUGGCAGCCGCAUGUUAUGGACAUGGGAUGAUUAUCGGCGCUGGUUAAUUAGAUGGUCGACUGUUCAGUCGUUGCCUAGGCUUCGGCCACUAAUCCUCCCUUAUGUAAUUAUGAAGGGCUUUAGUCUUGCCAGUGAGCCUACUACUCCUAGAAGUUUGGUUGUUUUUGUCAAUGUGCUAAAAAAGGAUGUUUUGUUAAUUGAGUUUACAUCAAAUAUUUCAAUAGUGAUGUGCUAUAUUUUUAUCUUAUAUAUGUCAGGUUCAUAUUAUAUUAGUGCGUGA